AUUGAACGCUGGCGGCAGGCCUAACACAUGCAAGUCGAACGGUAACAGGAAGACGCUUGCUUCUUUGCUGACGAGUGGCGGACGGGUGAGUAAUGUCUGGGAAACUGCCUGAUGGAGGGGGAUAACUACUGGAAACGGUAGCUAAUACCGCAUAACGUCGCAAGACCAAAGAGGGGGACCUUCGGGCCUCUUGCCAUAGGAUGUGCCCAGAUGGGAUUAGCUAGUAGGUGGGGUAACGGCUCACCUAGGCGACGAUCCCUAGCUGGUCUGAGAGGAUGACCAGCCACACUGGAACUGAGACACGGUCCAGACUCCUACGGGAGGCAGCAGUGGGGAAUAUUGCACAAUGGGCGCAAGCCUGAUGCAGCCAUGCCGCGUGUAUGAAGAAGGCCUUCGGGUUGUAAAGUACUUUCAGCGGGGAGGAAGGGAGGAAAGUUAAUACCUUUGCUCAUUGACGUUACCCGCAGAAGAAGCACCGGCUAACUCCGUG
RNAcentral lists this ribosomal RNA (490 nucleotides) under uncultured bacterium. RNAcentral describes it as "partial 16S ribosomal RNA". It matches the Rfam family "Bacterial small subunit ribosomal RNA", at positions 30 to 507 of the family's 1533-position model. The record is from RNAcentral.